This 489-nucleotide ribosomal RNA is filed under the name uncultured bacterium. RNAcentral describes it as "partial 16S ribosomal RNA". It matches the Rfam family "Bacterial small subunit ribosomal RNA", at positions 28 to 507 of the family's 1533-position model. The record is from RNAcentral.
GACGAACGCUGGCGGCGUGCUUAACACAUGCAAGUCGAACGGUGAAGGGACCAGCUUGCUGGUUCUGGAUGAGUGGCGAACGGGUGAGUAACACGUGAGUAACCUGCCCCCUUCUUCUGGAUAACCGCAUGAAAGUGUGGCUAAUACGGGAUAUUCUGGGUCUGUCGCAUGGCGGGCCCGGGAAAGAUAUUGCUUCGGUUGGGGAUGGGCUCGCGGCCUAUCAGCUUGUUGGUGGGGUGAUGGCCUACCAAGGCGGUGACGGGUAGCCGGCCUGAGAGGGUGGACGGUCACACUGGGACUGGGACACGGCCCAGACUCCUACGGGAGGCAGCAGUGGGGAAUAUUGCACAAUGGGCGCAAGCCUGAUGCAGCGACGCCGCGUGAGGGAUGGAGGCCUUCGGGUUGUAAACCUCUUUCGCCAGUGAAGCAGGCCUGCUCCUUGUGGGUGGGUUGACGGUAGCUGGAGAAGAAGCGCCGGCUAACUACGUG